RNAcentral lists this transfer RNA (87 nucleotides) under Caballeronia concitans. RNAcentral describes it as "tRNA-Sec". The record is from RNAcentral. Lineage: Bacteria; Pseudomonadati; Pseudomonadota; Betaproteobacteria; Burkholderiales; Burkholderiaceae.
GGCAACCGGUUCGGCUUGCGGAGCCGGCUUCACUUCGGCGUCGCCGGCAGCGGCGACGGCGGCGGGCGCUGCGCCCGCGGUUGCUUC